AUUGAACGCUGGCGGCAUGCCUUACACAUGCAAGUCGAACGGCAGCACGGGAGCAAUCCUGGUGGCGAGUGGCGAACGGGUGAGUAAAGUAUCGGAACGUGCCCAGUAGUGGGGGAUAACGUAGCGAAAGUUACGCUAAUACCGCGUACGAUCUAUGGAUGAAAGCGGGGGAUCGCAAGACCUCGCGCGAUUGGAGCGGCCGAUAUCAGAUUAGGUAGUUGGUGGGGUAAAGGCUCACCAAGCCGACGAUCUGUAGCUGGUCUGAGAGGACGACCAGCCACACUGGGACUGAGACACGGCCCAGACUCCUACGGGAGGCAGCAGUGGGGAAUUUUGGACAAUGGGCGAAAGCCUGAUCCAGCCAUGCCGCGUGCAGGAUGAAGGCCUUCGGGUUGUAAACUGCUUUUGUACGGAACGAAAAGGUUUGGCCUAAUAAGCUGAGCUCAUGACGGUACCGUAAGAAUAAGCACCGGCUAACUACGUGCCAGCAGCCGCCGCGG
RNAcentral lists this ribosomal RNA (500 nucleotides) under uncultured bacterium. Its description in RNAcentral is "partial 16S ribosomal RNA". It matches the Rfam family "Bacterial small subunit ribosomal RNA", at positions 30 to 523 of the family's 1533-position model. The record is from RNAcentral.